Molecule: ribosomal RNA, 446 nt
Filed under: uncultured bacterium
Lineage: Bacteria
Description: bacterial SSU rRNA
Rfam family: Bacterial small subunit ribosomal RNA
Source: RNAcentral
ACUCCUACGGGAGGCAGCAGUGGGGAAUAUUGCGCAAUGGGGGAAACCCUGACGCAGCAACGCCGCGUGAAUGAUGAAGGCCUUCGGGUUGUAAAGUUCUGUCUUCUGGGACGAUAAUGACGGUACCAGAGGAGGAAGCCACGGCUAACUACGUGCCAGCAGCCGCGGUAAUACGUAGGUGGCAAGCGUUGUCCGGAUUUACUGGGCGUAAAGGAUGCGUAGGCGGACAUUUAAGUCAGAUGUGAAAUACCCGAGCUUAACUUGGGUGCUGCAUUUGAAACUGGGUGUCUAGAGUGCAGGAGAGGUAAGUGGAAUUCCUAGUGUAGCGGUGAAAUGCGUAGAGAUUAGGAAGAACACCAGUGGCGAAGGCGACUUACUGGACUGUAACUGACGCUGAGGCAUGAAAGCGUGGGGAGCAAACAGGAUUAGAUACCCUGGUAGUCCAC